CAGCAGCCGCGGUAAUACGAAGGGGGCUAGCGUUGUUCGGAAUUACUGGGCGUAAAGCGCACGUAGGCGGAUAUUUAAGUCAGGGGUGAAAUCCCGCAGCUCAACUGCGGAACUGCCUUUGAUACUGGGUAUCUUGAGUAUGGAAGAGGUUAGUGGAAUUGCGAGUGUAGAGGUGAAAUUCGUAGAUAUUCGCAGGAACACCAGUGGCGAAGGCGGCUAACUGGUCCAUAACUGACGCUGAGGUGCGAAAGCGUGGGGAGCAAACAGGAUUAGAUACCCCAGUAGUCCCUGUCUCUUAUAC
Molecule: ribosomal RNA, 301 nt
Filed under: uncultured bacterium
Lineage: Bacteria
Description: partial 16S ribosomal RNA
Rfam family: Bacterial small subunit ribosomal RNA
Source: RNAcentral